GAUGAACGCUGGCGGCGUGCCUAAUACAUGCAAGUCGAGCGAACGGACGAGAAGCUUGCUUCUCUGAUGUUAGCGGCGGACGCGUGAGUCACACGUGGAUCACCUCCCUAUAAGUCUGGGAUAACUUCGGGAAACCGGAGCUUAUACCGGAUGAUAUUUUGAACCGCAUGGUUCAAAAGUGAAAGACGGUCUUGCUGUCACUUAUAGAUGGAUCCGCGCUGCAUUAGCUAGUUGGUAAGGUAACGGCUUACCAAGGCAACGAUGCAUAGCCGGCCUGGGGGGCUGAGCGGGCGGACGGGAGCAGUGACACGGUCCUGCGUCCUAGGGGAGGAAGCAGGGGAGAAGCGGCGGCAAUUGGCGAAUGCACGAAGGAGCGACGCAGCGUGAGUGAGUAGGGGCUGCGGAUCGUAAGACUGUGUUAUUAGGGAUGAAGAUAAGUGUAAGUAACUGUGCACGUGUUGACGGUACCGGGUCAAGAAGCCACGGCUAACUACGUG
RNAcentral lists this ribosomal RNA (497 nucleotides) under uncultured bacterium. RNAcentral's name for it is "partial 16S ribosomal RNA". It matches the Rfam family "Bacterial small subunit ribosomal RNA", at positions 28 to 507 of the family's 1533-position model. The record is from RNAcentral.